ACUCUCUUAGUACAACCAAUAUAACUGACUUCCAAUUAGUAGAUUCUGAUAAAACCUCAGAAGAGAGUA
This 69-nucleotide transfer RNA is filed under the name Grammomys poensis (Western rainforest Grammomys). Its description in RNAcentral is "tRNA-Gly". The record is from RNAcentral. Lineage: Eukaryota; Metazoa; Chordata; Mammalia; Rodentia; Muridae.